RNAcentral lists this ribosomal RNA (465 nucleotides) under Vreelandella stevensii. RNAcentral describes it as "partial 16S ribosomal RNA". It matches the Rfam family "Bacterial small subunit ribosomal RNA", at positions 338 to 795 of the family's 1533-position model. The record is from RNAcentral. Lineage: Bacteria; Pseudomonadati; Pseudomonadota; Gammaproteobacteria; Oceanospirillales; Halomonadaceae.
CCUACGGGAGGCUGCAGUGGGGAAUAUUGGACAAUGGGGGCAACCCUGAUCCAGCCAUGCCGCGUGUGUGAAGAAGGCCCUCGGGUUGUAAAGCACUUUCAGUGAGGAAGAACGCCUGGUGGUUAAUACCCAUCAGGAAAGACAUCACUCACAGAAGAAGCACCGGCUAACUCCGUGCCAGCAGCCGCGGUAAUACGGAGGGUGCGAGCGUUAAUCGGAAUUACUGGGCGUAAAGCGCGCGUAGGUGGCUUGAUAAGCCGGAUGUGAAAGCCCCGGGCUCAACCUGGGAACGGCAUCCGGAACUGUCAAGCUAGAGUGCAGGAGAGGAAGGUAGAAUUCCCGGUGUAGCGGUGAAAUGCGUAGAGAUCGGGAGGAAUACCAGUGGCGAAGGCGGCCUUCUGGACUGACACUGACACUGAGGUGCGAAAGCGUGGGUAGCAAACAGGAUUAGAUACCCCUGUAGUC